This 586-nucleotide long non-coding RNA is filed under the name Mytilus galloprovincialis (Mediterranean mussel). The record is from RNAcentral. Lineage: Eukaryota; Metazoa; Mollusca; Bivalvia; Mytilida; Mytilidae.
AAAGCAAACAAGACAAAUAUGACUAUCGAUGAUCUAUGGACCACCUUUAAAACCAAAACAACAGAGACCAUCAACAAAAAUAUACCAACUAAAGUAAUUGAAAAAAAAUCAAAAUUACCAUGGGUAAAUAGAGACCUGAAAAGACUCAUAAGAAAGAAAAACAAACUCUAUAAAAAGAAAAGUCAUGACUCAAAUUACAAAAAUAAAUACAAAGAGAUAAAGACCAAACUUCAAAAAGAGAUGAGAAUAGCAUACUGGGCAUACAUCGAAAAUAUGAUCUUUGACAUCGAUAUAAAAGAACCAGACCAGCAUUGCUUCAACAAACAACCUAAAAAGCUGUACUCCUAUAUAAAAAGCCAAAGAAAAGAAAACACCGGCAUUGCAUCUUUAAGAAGCGAAGGCACCCUCCAUACAAACCCCUCUGAAAAAGCAAACAUAUUAAACCAUCAAUUUCAAUCUGCUUUCACAUCAGAAACUAACACAGAAAUACCAACGAAAGAAGCUAGUACAUACCAUAAAAUGGAACAAAUUAACAUCAGUCGGGAAGGUGUAUACAAACUCAUAAAAAACAUAAACACCAAUAAAG